GUAGGGGGCAAGCGUUAUCCGGAUUUACUGGGUGUAAAGGGAGCGUAGACGGCAUGGCAAGCCAGAUGUGAAAGCCCGGGGCUCAACCCCGGGACUGCUUUGGAAACUGUGCAGCUAGAGUGUCGGAGAGGCAAGCGGAAUNCCUAGUGUAGCGGUGAAAUGCGUAGAUAUUAGGAGGAACACCAGUGGCGAAGGCGGCUUGCUGGACGAUGACUGACGUUGAGGCUCGAAAGCGUGGGGAGCAAACAGGAUUAGAUACCCUGGUAGUCCACGCCGUAAACGAUGACUACUAGGUGUCGGGGAGCAAAGCUCUUCGGUGCCGCAGCCAACGCAAUAAGUAGUCCACCUGGGGAGU
This 355-nucleotide ribosomal RNA is filed under the name uncultured bacterium. RNAcentral describes it as "bacterial SSU rRNA". It matches the Rfam family "Bacterial small subunit ribosomal RNA", at positions 527 to 881 of the family's 1533-position model. The record is from RNAcentral.